UUACACAAGCAAAAACCAUAACUGUCACCCUGCAGACUCUGACUUCUCAUAGCUGUCUCUGCCCCUGUAAAACUGGGGUUAAGGGAGAGGGAUGAGCUACUAGAGCCCAGUGAGUAGGAACGAUAAAAACAUUCAUUUAAAACAUAUGCUAUCAUGGAAUGCAUCACAUCACAACUAAUCACAUAUUAAGGAUGGAAUUGUCACCAC
Molecule: long non-coding RNA, 207 nt
Filed under: Manihot esculenta (cassava)
Lineage: Eukaryota; Viridiplantae; Streptophyta; Magnoliopsida; Malpighiales; Euphorbiaceae
Description: long non-coding RNA (MESC_LNC001444)
Source: RNAcentral